Molecule: ribosomal RNA, 402 nt
Filed under: uncultured bacterium
Lineage: Bacteria
Description: bacterial SSU rRNA
Rfam family: Bacterial small subunit ribosomal RNA
Source: RNAcentral
UGGGGAAUCUUGGACAAUGGGGGCAACCCUGAUCCAGCGAUGCCGCGUGAGCGAAGAAGGCCUUAGGGUUGUAAAGCUCUUUCGCCCGCGGCGAUGAUGACGGUAGCGGGAGAAGAAGCCCCGGCUAACUCCGUGCCAGCAGCCGCGGUAAUACGGAGGGGGCUAGCGUUGUCCGGAAUUACUGGGCGUAAAGCGCGCGUAGGCGGUCCACCAAGUCGGGGGUGAAAGCCCGGGGCUCAACCCCGGAAUGUCCUCCGAGACUGUUGGACUGGAGUUCGGGAGAGGAGAGCGGAAUUCCCAGUGUAGAGGUGAAAUUCGUAGAUAUUGGGAAGAACACCGGUGGCGAAGGCGGCUCUCUGGCCCGCAACUGACGCUGAGGCGCGAAAGCGUGGGGAGCAAACA